RNAcentral lists this ribosomal RNA (492 nucleotides) under uncultured bacterium. RNAcentral's name for it is "partial 16S ribosomal RNA". It matches the Rfam family "Bacterial small subunit ribosomal RNA", at positions 29 to 507 of the family's 1533-position model. The record is from RNAcentral.
AGUGAACGCUGGCGGUAGGCCUAACACAUGCAAGUCGAACGGCAGCACCGUAAGAGCUUGCUCUUACGGGUGGCGAGUGGCGGACGGGUGAGGAAUACAUCGGAAUCUACUUUUUCGUGGGGGAUAACGAAGGGAAACUUACGCUAAUACCGCAUAUGACCUACGGGUGAAAGCAGGGGAUCUUCGGACCUUGCGCGAUUGAAUGAGCCGAUGUCGGAUUAGCUAGUUGGCGGGGUAAUGGCCCACCAAGGCGACGAUCCGUAGCUGGUCUGAGUGGAUGAUCACCCACACGAGAACGGAACCACGGUCCAGACUCCUACGGGAGGCAGCAGUGGGGAAUAUUGGACAAUGGGCGCAAGCCUGAUCCAGCCAUACCGCGUGGGUGGAGAAGGCCUUCGGGUUGUAAAGCCCUUUUGUUGGGAAAGAAAAGCAGCAGCUUAAUACCCCGCUGUUCUGACGGUACCCAAAGAAUAAGCACCGGCUAACUUCGUG